RNAcentral lists this microRNA precursor (94 nucleotides) under Chlorocebus sabaeus (green monkey). Its description in RNAcentral is "miRNA (ENSCSAG00000024559.1)". Lineage: Eukaryota; Metazoa; Chordata; Mammalia; Primates; Cercopithecidae. The record is from RNAcentral.
AUGUGUGUGUAUGUGUGUAUAUAUAUGUGUGCAUAUAUGUAUAUAUGUAUACACAUACACACAUAUAUACACACACAUACACACACACACAUAU